CUUAAUCUAGACACAGUAUCAUUCUUUGACCAUUAGAAACUUUUGAGAAGGAGAUCUCUUUCGGGUAACCAUAAAGUACGCCAUUUACAAAGAUCACUUGCCGAGGACCAAUAAGAAGAGCUUCACAUUGCACAGUGAAGUAAUGGCCCACUUCACAGCUGUUUACGCAUUUCUCUAGUCUGCCGGAGGAAUUGAGAAGGACAUCCUUUCGCCCGUCGGUAAUUGAACCAUAACCGAUUCCUUCAUCAUUAUUAAA
Molecule: long non-coding RNA, 256 nt
Filed under: Eucalyptus grandis
Lineage: Eukaryota; Viridiplantae; Streptophyta; Magnoliopsida; Myrtales; Myrtaceae
Description: long non-coding RNA (EGRA_LNC002773)
Source: RNAcentral